RNAcentral lists this small nucleolar RNA (128 nucleotides) under Oryzias javanicus (javanese ricefish). RNAcentral's name for it is "Small nucleolar RNA ACA64 (ENSOJAG00000009534.1)". It matches the Rfam family "Small nucleolar RNA ACA64". The record is from Rfam by way of RNAcentral. Lineage: Eukaryota; Metazoa; Chordata; Actinopteri; Beloniformes; Adrianichthyidae.
UCGGCCUGAAAAUGUCCUCCGGUUUGACCGUAACCGGGGGUCAGAUUCCUGAGCCCACAGCACGGCGGCACGUUAAGCUUAUCGGCUGCUGCUGGUGGGCAGACGAUAAAACCCACGGGCCUACAAGA